RNAcentral lists this ribosomal RNA (254 nucleotides) under uncultured bacterium. RNAcentral describes it as "partial 16S ribosomal RNA". It matches the Rfam family "Bacterial small subunit ribosomal RNA", at positions 524 to 776 of the family's 1533-position model. The record is from RNAcentral.
UACAUGUGGUGCAAGCGUUGUUCGGAAUUACUGGGCAUAAAGGGUGCGUAGGCGGUGUCGUCAGUCUGGGGUGAAAUCCUGCGGCCCAACCGUGGGACUGCCUCGGAUACUGCGAUGCUUGAGUGCGUGAGGGGUGAUCGGAACGCGUGGUGUAGCGGUGAAAUGCGUAGAUAUCACGCGGAAGGCCAACGGCGAAGGCAGAUCACUGGCGCGCAACUGACGCUGAGUGCACGAAAGCGUGGGGAGCAAACAGG